UACGGGGGGGGCAAGCGUUGUUCGGAAUUACUGGGCGUAAAGGGCUUGUAGGUGGCCAACUAAGUCAGACGUGAAAUCCCCGGGCUCAACCUGGGAACUGCAUUCAAAACUGACGAGCUAGAGUAUGGUAGAGGGUGGUGGAAUUUCCUGUGUAGCGGUGAAAUGCGUAGAUAUAGGAAGGAACACCAGUGGCGAAGGCGACCACCUGGACUGAUACUGACACUGAGGUGCGAAAGCGUGGGGAGCAAACAGG
This 253-nucleotide ribosomal RNA is filed under the name uncultured bacterium. RNAcentral's name for it is "partial 16S ribosomal RNA". It matches the Rfam family "Bacterial small subunit ribosomal RNA", at positions 524 to 776 of the family's 1533-position model. The record is from RNAcentral.